CACAAAACACUUGGCCAGGCAAAAGAGUCGGUGUUCAUUCACUAGGAGACCACACAUCGAUCGAGAUCAUUGCUCGUGACCGUCCUGGUCUCUUAUCUGAGGUCUCAGCCGUACUAGCAGACCUCCACUUCAACGUGGUAGCAGCUGAAGCAUGGACUCAUAACCGUAGGAUCGCGUGUGUUCUCUAUGUGAAUGAUAACGAAACAUCUAGAGCCGUCGAUGAUCCAGAUCUCGAUCUCACUAUCACCAAAGCUUACAUCUCUUCUGAUGGUGGAUGGUUCAUGGACGGUAAUAAUUACACAUUUACAUUUACAACAACGACAAAAGAAUUCAUUAUAAUGAAGCAUCUCACUGGUUCUGUUUUCACAUCUUAAUAGUAUUCCAUGUCACUGAUCAACAAGGAAACAAGGUUACUGAUAGCAAAACCAUCGAUUACAUCGAGAAGGUACGUAAUUCCAAUGUUAUUCAAAGCCUAGCACCUAUAAUGAUUAACUAAAAGCCUUAAUUAGUACUUAGGGGUCUAAGAGCAUCUCCAUAGCUCCAUAUUUUACUUUAAAAUGGAAUGAGUAAUGAAGUAAAAUAUAGUAAUAUUAAAAAUUUUAUUGUUUUUUCAUUAUUCCAUCUUAGAGUAAAAUAUGGAAUGAAGAUGGAAAUUCCUUAAGCUUUACAAAUUAUAACAAUAUACUAAAUAUAACAGUAUAGUAUAUUUAAUAUAAAGAUUUAUGAAUAACAAAAUUCAUAUAAUUUUAUUUUCAUAAGAUUUUAUAAUACGUUAUAUUAAUUAUUAUGAAAUUUAUAAAUAAAAUUAUAUAUCUAUUAACCGCCUAGAACCGUUUUCAUAACACUAGUAUAUAUAUCCAUUGGAUUGUUAUUACAAUAUAUAUGAUUCUUGUUUUUCUUGUCAGGUGCUAGGACCAAAGGGCUAUGCUUCAGCUUCACAAAACACUUGGCCAGGCAAAAGAGUCGGUGUUCAUUCACUAGGAGACCACACAUCGAUCGAGAUCAUUGCUCGUGACCGUCCUGGUCUCUUAUCUGAGGUCUCAGCCGUACUAGCAGACCUCCACUUCAACGUGGUAGCAGCUGAAGCAUGGACUCAUAACCGUAGGAUCGCGUGUGUUCUCUAUGUGAAUGAUAACGAAACCUCUAGAGCCGUUGAUGAUCCACAAAGAUUAUCUACCA
RNAcentral lists this long non-coding RNA (1179 nucleotides) under Brassica napus (rape). RNAcentral describes it as "long non-coding RNA (BNAP_LNC006437)". The record is from RNAcentral. Lineage: Eukaryota; Viridiplantae; Streptophyta; Magnoliopsida; Brassicales; Brassicaceae.